UUAACUUAUUAUAUAUUACUCAGACGACAAUAUUCAGAGUUUGGGGGUCUCUGGCGGGCGCGAGCCAGCUUACGCCGGCAGCCGUGAGGCAGGCCCGCCAAAGCAACAAAGUGUGAUAAACAAAGGGUGGGAGAUCUACCCCGAAGGGCAAGUUCUCUUUAGUGAUCCUUCCGCAGGUUCACCUACGGAAA
Molecule: unclassified non-coding RNA, 191 nt
Filed under: uncultured fungus
Lineage: Eukaryota; Fungi
Description: sequence contains ITS1
Source: RNAcentral